UACGGGGGGGGCAAGCGUUGUUCGGAAUUACUGGGCGUAAAGGGUCUGUAGGUGGCUUGCUAAGUCAGACGUGAAAUCCCUCAGCUUAACUGGGGAACUGCGUCUGAGACUGGCGAGCUUGAGGGCAGGAGAGGAACGCGGAAUUCCAGGUGUAGCGGUGAAAUGCGUAGAUAUCUGGAGGAACACCGGUGGCGAAGGCGGCAUCCUGGACCGGUAUUGACGCUGAGGCGCGAAAGCCAGGGGAGCAAACGGG
This 253-nucleotide ribosomal RNA is filed under the name uncultured bacterium. RNAcentral describes it as "partial 16S ribosomal RNA". It matches the Rfam family "Bacterial small subunit ribosomal RNA", at positions 524 to 776 of the family's 1533-position model. The record is from RNAcentral.